UACGAAGGGGGCUAGCGUUGCUCGGAAUUACUGGGCGUAAAGGGCGCGUAGGCGGCUAUCUAAGUUGGGGGUGAAAUCCCGGGGCUCAACCUCGGAAUUGCCUUCAAAACUGGAUAUCUUGAGUUCGGGAGAGGUGAGUGGAACUCCGAGUGUAGAGGUGAAAUUCGUAGAUAUUCGGAAGAACACCAGUGGCGAAGGCGACUCACUGGCCCGAUACUGACGCUGAGGCGCGAAAGCGUGGGGAGCAAACAGG
This 253-nucleotide ribosomal RNA is filed under the name uncultured bacterium. Its description in RNAcentral is "partial 16S ribosomal RNA". It matches the Rfam family "Bacterial small subunit ribosomal RNA", at positions 524 to 776 of the family's 1533-position model. The record is from RNAcentral.